UACAGAGGGCUCAAGCGUUGUUCGGAUUCAUUGGGCGUAAAGGGUGUGUAGGUGGCGCCGUAAGUCGGGUGUGAAAUUUCGGAGCUUAACUCCGAAACUGCAUUCGAUACUGCGGUGCUUGAGGACUGGAGAGGAGACUGGAAUUUACGGUGUAGCGGUGAAAUGCGUAGAUAUCGUAAGGAAGACCAGUGGCGAAGGCGGGUCUCUGGACAGUUCCUGACGCUGAGGCACGAAGGUCAGGGGAGCAAACGGG
Molecule: ribosomal RNA, 253 nt
Filed under: uncultured bacterium
Lineage: Bacteria
Description: partial 16S ribosomal RNA
Rfam family: Bacterial small subunit ribosomal RNA
Source: RNAcentral